Molecule: ribosomal RNA, 588 nt
Filed under: Triticum aestivum (bread wheat)
Lineage: Eukaryota; Viridiplantae; Streptophyta; Magnoliopsida; Poales; Poaceae
Description: partial small subunit ribosomal RNA
Source: RNAcentral
AUGGCGCUGCCGAGCACGGAGAAGAAGACGGCGGCGGAGGUGGUCGCGGCGCUGGAGCUGCACCGCCACCCCCACGGCGGCUUCUACCUGGAGACCUUCCGCGACCCCUCCCUCACGCUCCCCAAGUCCGCGCUCCCGCCCCAAUAUAAGGUGGACCGUGCUGUGAGUAGUGCAAUCUAUUUCCUGCUGCCUGCUGGGGAGAUCGCUCGGCUGCACCGCAUCCCCUGCGCUGAGGCAUGGCACUACUACAUGGGGGAGCCCCUCACGGUAUUUGAGGUGCAUGAUGAUGGGCAAGUCAAGAUGACAGUAGUCGGUCCCGAUCUACGGAAAGGGCAGAGACCACAGUACACGGUCCCUCCGAAUGUGUGGUUUGGCGCCUUCCUGACCCACGACAUCGAGUUCUUCACUGACGACUGCAGUGUUUUUGUCAAGACACCUGGACGGGACCCUGACCUCCACUAUUCUUUCGUUGGAGUGACCUGUGCCCCAGCAUACCAAUUCGAGGACGAUGAAAUGGCCACACGCGACAGCAUGAAAGCUUUGGCUCCUAACACGGAAGCUUUCAUCAAUUACCUUGUUCCAGCUUAG